CACUCUGUAAUGGAAGUGAAUGAUGCAGGUAUAUGGUGGGGAGCAGAAUUGGGAGGUCAUUCCAAUCUCUACUUUCCAUUCAUUCACAGGGCCAAGGAGGCAUUCCUGUUCUGGGAUUCCAUGAGAGCAUUCAUUACCCUUAAGUGGCAGAGUGGGUUUCUGUACCUGCUAUCGACAGCCCUACCUACUAUAAUCCCCUCGCUUUACACUGAGUUCAGCAGACCAUAUCAUAUGGGUUAUUGCUGCGAUAUAAUCUGGGUGAUCACGUGGCUGGGUACAUAGUGAUCAAUACAUGUUUCUCCCUAGCAGUCUGGAAAGGUUAGUGACACCAAGGGAAUUGCUUCAAUGACUCAUCAGAGCUCUGCUUCAGUCAUGCAACCUGUCUAUUAUGGAUUCAUGAUUGUUAUAAAAAUUCAGAGUCAAGAACAAUCCUAACAUACAAGCGGUCAGAUGUCAUUGUGAUCUUCAUGUCCUAAUGGAAUAUUCGAAGUUUCAUUGCCUGCAGGAUUGACAUCAGUGUCCAAGGUAAUUGCCAGAUGUUUUGACAUUAGGCUGUAAGCUCUUUUGGGGGAAAGGAUAAGCAGCUCUUUAAAACCACAAGCAGCUGUUAAAAAAUACAAUUAUUUUUUGAAAUGGAGUUUUUAUGACCACUUAAGCUCUAAGAAUUGUUUAAAGUGAUAUAAAAAGCCCCAUAAUAUCACUAUUUUAAAUUAGUCUUCAAGUGGGCCUCUUUGUAAGGAAACAGACUUUAUUAGGCCAAUAACCUCUUCUCUCUUCUUUAUCUUUGUUUUGACUAUUUUAGGCCUAGAGGAAGUCACUCCUAAGUCAAGUACAUCAUUUAAUCUCUGUACUAAUGAGGCCAGGAUGGGUGUUAAAUUUCCUGUGGCCAAUUUCAGGGUGACCAAGAGCUCACCUAAUUCUGGUAAUUUUUUGCAAAUGUGUGCCAGGCAACACGUGUCCCCUGAGAUGAAGGACAAGAGAAUAUAGCUAGAUUAAUGUAAAC
This 1003-nucleotide long non-coding RNA is filed under the name Vulpes vulpes (red fox). RNAcentral describes it as "lncRNA (ENSVVUG00000008675.1)". Lineage: Eukaryota; Metazoa; Chordata; Mammalia; Carnivora; Canidae. The record is from RNAcentral.